This 852-nucleotide ribosomal RNA is filed under the name human gut metagenome. RNAcentral describes it as "bacterial SSU rRNA". It matches the Rfam family "Bacterial small subunit ribosomal RNA", at positions 674 to 1520 of the family's 1533-position model. The record is from RNAcentral.
UGUAACGGUGGAAUGUGUAGAUAUCGGGAAGAACACCAAUGGCGAAGGCAGGUCUCUGGGCCGGUACUGACGCUCAGGAGCGAAAGCGUGGGGAGCGACCAGGAUUAGAUACCCUGGUAGUCCACGCCGUAAACGGUGGAUGCUGGAUGUGGGGCCCGUUCCACGGGUUCCGUGUCGGAGCUAACGCGUUAAGCAUCCCGCCUGGGGAGUACGGCCGCAAGGCUAAAACUCAAAGAAAUUGACGGGGGCCCGCACAAGCGGCGGAGCAUGCGGAUUAAUUCGAUGCAACGCGAAGAACCUUACCUGGGCUUGACAUGUUCCCGACGGUCGUAGAGAUACGGCUUCCCUUCGGGGCGGGUUCACAGGUGGUGCAUGGUCGUCGUCAGCUCGUGUCGUGAGAUGUUGGGUUAAGUCCCGCAACGAGCGCAACCCUCGCCCCGUGUUGCCAGCGGAUUAUGCCGGGAACUCACGGGGGACCGCCGGGGUUAACUCGGAGGAAGGUGGGGAUGACGUCAGAUCAUCAUGCCCCUUACGUCCAGGGCUUCACGCAUGCUACAAUGGCCGGUACAACGGGAUGCGACGCGGCGACGCGGAGCGGAUCCCUGAAAACCGGUCUCAGUUCGGAUCGCAGUCUGCAACUCGACUGCGUGAAGGCGGAGUCGCUAGUAAUCGCGAAUCAGCAACGUCGCGGUGAAUGCGUUCCCGGGCCUUGUACACACCGCCCGUCAAGUCAUGAAAGUGGGCAGCACCCGAAGCCGGUGGCCUAACCCCUUGUGGGAUGGAGCCGUCUAAGGUGAGGCUCGUGAUUGGGACUAAGUCGUAACAAGGUAGCCGUACCGGAAGGUGCGGCUG